RNAcentral lists this long non-coding RNA (1970 nucleotides) under Homo sapiens (human). RNAcentral's name for it is "HSALNT0326937". Lineage: Eukaryota; Metazoa; Chordata; Mammalia; Primates; Hominidae. The record is from RNAcentral.
GACAGGGAGCUUAAGAUGUAUAUAAGCACUAGAAAAAAUCUUCUAACCUUGAGUUGGUCUGGUGAGUUACUCUGACCUUCUCCUUGUAACUGGUUGCAGAAAUAAACUCCCUUCUUUCCCAGUCUGCCUGCAUCUCAUUAUUGGAUCACCAGGACAAGCAGCCAGGCCUCAUUCUGUCCGGGAGCAAAUCUGGUAACUCUCCCAGGAGAGCUCAGCAGCCAGCGGCUCGCAAAGAGGUAGUCUUUGGGUGACCCCCAGCAGCUGCCUGGUAUGGUUUGUCCUGGGGACUCUCCUGAGGACCUUUCUGGCUGCAAAGACUGCCCGUCUCUCUAUUACUGGGAAAGAAUAGAGAUUGGGAGCAGUUGCACUCAAAAGCCCUGCAGCUAGCUGUCCCAAGUAAACAACGCUCUUGGAGUAAAUUGGAAACUCACACAGCAUGGAAACCACAACCUUCUGGACAGACUGAAAGGAUGAAUCAAACACGAAAACAGUGCCAAACUGUGCCAACUAAAAUGGAUUCAGGUACUCAGCAUUGUACUGCUUUGGGUAAGUGACCCCUAGAAGUGGGAUGAGGUUAAAUCCCUAUAAAAUUAUAAAUGGGAGACCCUUUGCUGCUAAUCUGUCUUGGGUUACUUGGGUACCUCUUAAUAGAAAGCCAACUAUUAAACACUAUGCUACUCACUUGGGACAAAUACUUAAUGUUUUGCAUAAGCUUGCUUGCAACAGGAGUAUCGUAAACUCAGCGAAACUGUGUCACUUGUACCAGCCUGGUGAUCAAGUGCUGCUGAAAGAAUAAAGAGAAAUGAGCCCAAGUCAGCAGCUACAGGAGAAAUAGAAAGGGCCCCAUGACAUGCUGCUGACUACCAAUUUGGCAAUGAAACUGGCUGGCAUCAAGCCAUGGAUCCACCACAUGCCCGUGAAGAAGUUCCUGCCGGAGGAAACAUUCAUGACACAGGACACCAAGGCUGCCAAAUGGGAGACAGAACCCCUUGAAGGCCUAGGAUUUCUGUUCAAAAGAUGAUAAAGUAUUGUUUUACAUUGUUACAUUGCUGCUUUACAUUGCUGCUGUUUUACAUUGUUAUUUCUGCGUACCUCUAACCUUUUCCUACAAUGGGCAAAGGUUAUGCAAAUAGCUUACAGCAAGACUCUUGCUGGGUCUGUGCUCUAUUACCCCUCUCUGGCACCAUGGGGCUGCCUUGGUGCAUCCCCCACAUACAAGGAAAAAUUAGGUUUAUAAUAUCUUGAUUUUGUAGAACACCUUCCUGGUGGCAGAAAAUUCUUCUUGUCCUAGCUGCCUUCCUGGGCAUGAGCAUAAUACUAUGUUGUGAACUAUAUUAUUGUUAUAUGCUGUUCCAAAACAUUCCUCAGGCUCACAAGAUCAUGUCUUAUCAGGCGCUGCCUUUGAGUCUCUAAAGCCAGAAACAUUACCAGCACCAGAUAGACAUCUUCCACUCUAGCACCCCUUGAUGACAACCCUCUUCAGCAGGAAGUAGAUGGAGGGAAUGCAUACCCACUUUCCCUUAGUCGGCUAUGUCAUAGUUUACACUUUUGCACUAGCCUUUUAACAAACCAGUACUUGAAAAAAUUAACUAACAUGCUAGAAAUCACGUACAAAUUGACAGUGGGGAUUGUGGCAGGCCAGGUUUCCAUUAGCAACCAGAACAGUCAGUUUUCACUAAUCCUUUACUAUAACUCUGAUGAAUAUAUAAGUUAAACAUUAAAGAACUGGAGAAACUGGUCACUAAGUACAAUGGCUGGAAUGCAAAAACAAACCCAUUAAGACCCCAGACCCUAAUGAUUAGAUACAGAUUGAAAGAAACACUCCUGCUUGUAGGUGCACUCCCACACAUAGGCAGAGAGCUUAAAAUGUGUAUAUGCACUAGAAAAAAUAUUGUAACUGCGUUGGUCUGAUGAGUUACUCUGACCUUCUCCUUGUAACUGGUUGCAAAAAUAAACUUUCUUUUUCCCCA